This 494-nucleotide ribosomal RNA is filed under the name uncultured soil bacterium. RNAcentral describes it as "bacterial SSU rRNA". It matches the Rfam family "Bacterial small subunit ribosomal RNA", at positions 26 to 483 of the family's 1533-position model. The record is from RNAcentral.
AGAUUGAACGCUGGCGGCAGGCCUAACACAUGCAAGUCGAGCGGCAGCACGGGUACUUGUACCUGGUGGCGAGCGGCGGACGGGUGAGUAAUGCCUAGGAAUCUGCCUGAUAGUGGGGGGAUAACGUUCGGAAACGGACGCUAAUACCGCAUACGUCCUACGGGAGAAAGUGGGGGAUCUUCGGACCUCACGCUAUCAGAUGAGCCUAGGUCGGAUUAGCUAGUUGGUAGGGUAAAGCCUACCAGGCUACGAUCCGUAACUGGCCUGAGAGGAUGAUCAGUCACACUGGAACUGAGACACGGUCCAGACUCCGUACGGGAGCAGCAGGUGGGAAUAGUGACAAGUGGGACGAAAGCCUGAUCCGAGUCCAUGCCGUCGUGUACGUAGAAGGUAAGGUCGUUACGGUAUUAGUAAAGUCUAACGUUUAAGGUUGGGAGGAAGGUACUAAGUUAACCUAAGUACGUUAGUUGUUUACGUACGUUACGAUAAGUAAC